RNAcentral lists this ribosomal RNA (496 nucleotides) under uncultured bacterium. RNAcentral's name for it is "partial 16S ribosomal RNA". It matches the Rfam family "Bacterial small subunit ribosomal RNA", at positions 28 to 506 of the family's 1533-position model. The record is from RNAcentral.
GAUAAACGCUGGCGGCGUGCCUAAUACAUGCAAGUCGAGCGAACAGACGAGGAGCUUGCUCCUCUGACGUUAGCGGCGGACGGGUGAGUAACACGUGGAUAACCUACCUAUAAGACUGGGAUAACUUCGGGAAACCGGAGCUAAUACCGGAUAAUAUAUUGAACCGCAUGGUUCAAUAGUGAAAGACGGUUUUGCUGUCACUUAUAGAUGGAUCCGCGCCGCAUUAGCUAGUUGGUAAGGUAACGGCUUACCAAGGCGACGAUGCGUAGCCGACCUGAGAGGGUGAUCGGCCACACUGGAACUGAGACACGGUCCAGACUCCUACGGGAGGCAGCAGUAGGGAAUCUUCCGCAAUGGGCGAAAGCCUGACGGAGCAACGCCGCGUGAGUGAUGAAGGUCUUCGGAUCGUAAAACUCUGUUAUUAGGGAAGAACAAAUGUGUAAGUAACUAUGCACGUCUUGACGGUACCUAAUCAGAAAGCCACGGCUAACUACGU